AAACUUUGAAUAUCACUUUAUUAUAUAAAUUUGCAUAAAAAAGUUUCAAAAAUUAAUUUUAAAAUAUACAAUUAUCUAUCUAAAGUACACUCAGUUAUUCAACUAUAAGCUAUAAAAUUCUGAAAGGUUUCACAUCAAAAUAAAACUAAGUUCUAAGUAUUAGAUUUGGGGAUUCAAGAUGUUGAAAUCAGAUGAUUUUCUGCAGUCAAGGAUGAAGUAAUUUCACUCUUUGCAUCAAGACCGAUCAUUGAUCUUCUUGGAUUCAAUAGAUUAAAAUGCACCAUGUAAAUUCAAAAGAGACAAAAAUUAGCACAAAGAAUGAGCGAACCAUUAAUACAAAUAUGCAAGUUUGAAAAUACAUAAAUAUACCUGGAAAGAGAGAAGGCGCUUUGGUUUGCUCUGUACAUGUGAAGAGAGAAAGUGUUGUUGAAGAAGGAAAUGUGAAAAGGGAGGAAAGGGGGAGGUGGAUGGGAAGGGAACGCAGGGGGAGGCGGCUGGGAAGGGGAUGCACAAAGUGAGUUUGAAGGUUUUUAUUAGGUUUUGG
Molecule: long non-coding RNA, 544 nt
Filed under: Nicotiana tabacum (common tobacco)
Lineage: Eukaryota; Viridiplantae; Streptophyta; Magnoliopsida; Solanales; Solanaceae
Description: long non-coding RNA (NTAB_LNC008251)
Source: RNAcentral